AGGCUGUAAUGGUUGGUUUCGCCAAAAUUGUAGAAAAGAGGUCAAAGAAGUAAACGCCAGGUGCACGAAGGAGAAGCAAACAUUGAGAGUUGAAGCUAACGCUAGGUGCGAUAGAGAGAAGCAGACACUAAGAGCUGAUUUAAACAGACAAUCGUCAAAUAAGCGGAGGAUACUGGCACGCCGUCUGUCCGACUGUCUGAAGAAGCCUAAUUCAGGCACCUGUACCACCGAUGUUCAAUGUUUCUGGGAUUCGAUCAUCAAGAAAUGUAUUCCCAAGGAAUUGGCUUUGUAAAGAACUA
Long non-coding RNA from Saccostrea echinata, 299 nucleotides. RefSeq lists it as uncharacterized. NCBI's taxonomy places the organism in Eukaryota, Metazoa, Mollusca, Bivalvia, Ostreida, Ostreidae. The record is from RefSeq and is a predicted model, not a curated record. The transcript is spliced from 2 exons.